UUAAGUACAUAGGAGGGUACUCAACUUUGCUAAAAGUUCCAGUUAAGGUACUGAACUUUCAAAAGUUCCAGUUAAGGUACUGAAAUUGGAUGGCCGUUACUUUUGGGUGAAUUUCUGUCAAAUGCACCGUUUGGUACAUUUUCCUAGGCGCGUGUGCAACACGAAACGCCACCUAAUGAUUACUUUUAAUGAGGCGGUUUAUUUCGCGGGUAUUUAUCUCAACUCUCUGUAUUCAUUGUCUUUAUUUACUUUCCUUCUCUCACUGUUCAUAUUUACUUUCCUUCUUUCACUCUCCUUAUUCAAAUCACUGCAACUCUUUGUCCUCUUCAUUUACGCCAUUUAUAAUCAUAGUAUGUGGCCAACACCAAAACCUCCAAAAUUCCCAAGAAUUACAGAGACUUCAGAAGAAGGUAUGGAAGCUUUUACCCAUGCACACCCUCUUUGUUCGAAUCAAGAUAUCCUAGUGACCCACAUUUUCUCUAGGGUAAGGUGGGAGGAUCAGUACAAGCUUGAGCUGACUUGUAAGAAAUGGAGGCUUUGGUGGAGACUCAGAACUUAUGGGAGUAGUCAUUAUUUCUGGCUUAAUGAUCGUAGGCACAUUGAGAAGUGGAUAAUAGAUGAUAUUAUCUACAACAAUGGGAGGACCUCCAUGCUUGGAUCAACAAGGACAUGACUCAGUACUUUGAUGGGUUUCCAUGGUUGUUCAAAGAGGAUUGAAGAUGAAGGAUGUUGGUGUUUUUUUUUUUGGGUUGGGUUAGGUUUGUUUUGCCUCUGUCAUAGCAGUAGGAGGGGUAGAAUGUGACAGCCACUGGCUUUAUUUAGGGUGGUUGUCACUGCUAUGACAGAUUUGUUUUGUUGUUUAUGAAUGCAAGCUCCAAAAAAACUUUAAUAUGUUCUGUAAUUGGUUGGAGCUUGCCAAUUUUUGUACUUGUUAGUAUAUAAAUAUAUAUGAAUGGUUUUAUGGAUCCUACAA
Long non-coding RNA from Beta vulgaris subsp. vulgaris (sugar beet), 973 nucleotides. RefSeq lists it as uncharacterized. The record is from RefSeq and is a predicted model, not a curated record. NCBI's taxonomy places the organism in Eukaryota, Viridiplantae, Streptophyta, Magnoliopsida, Caryophyllales, Amaranthaceae. The transcript is spliced from 2 exons.